Hordeum vulgare subsp. vulgare (domesticated barley) is the source of this 1573-nucleotide RNA transcript. It is a transcript of the gene named transcription initiation factor TFIID subunit 5-like, with no coding region annotated. The transcript is spliced from 7 exons. NCBI's taxonomy places the organism in Eukaryota, Viridiplantae, Streptophyta, Magnoliopsida, Poales, Poaceae. The record is from RefSeq and is a predicted model, not a curated record.
GGACCUAGCCGCCACUCUCCUCUUCUUGCAGCCUUGUCUCCCUCCAAACCCUAGCCCCGCACGCCGCCGGCCGCGCUGCUCCGCCUCCUCCUCUCGUCAACUUCUCUCCUCCCUCCCUCGAUCUGUUUCCUCUCCUUGCCCGCGCCGCCUCCUCCGGCACGGAUAAGACCGGAUCCCCGCCGCAACCGGCAGAGCUCCUCACCGGCGGCGGCCAGAUCGGUUUCGUCGGUAACCAGAUUGGUUUCAUUGACGCCGGUGCCGAUGUCAAAGUCGUCCCGCAUUGCGCCGUCCUCGCCAACGAUGCCGAGGCGGGCGGGCGGGGGAGGGGGCGAGGGCGCUAGGGGAGGAGGCGGCGGCGGCGACGGGUUCGCAUUGGAGGUGGCGGGGAUGCCACUGGAGGCGGCGGCGGCGGCCCCGUCCUGGAGACACUGAAUAUCCAUGGAUCCAGCAAGGGGCUGAGACUUGGCCUCGUCAGCCAGAGCCUCCGGUGCGUCCAAAUUUGCGGCUCUGUUCUGGAGGACAUCGCCGUGGUGGAGGCUCCUCGGCUCGAGCGGCUCAUCCUGGAGGGGUUUCGGAGCAACGCCGGCGGCUUGUGCACCAGGGUCACGAUUGGCGAUGCUCCCAAGCUGCAAGCAUUAGGAAUGCUGGAGCCAGGGAACACCAUCCUAGAGAUCGGAGUCUUCGGAGACACCAUCGGCAUGGCCAGCCCAGGCAGCAUGGCCACCAGCGUCAAGUUCCUGAGUCUGAAUGUGCGUUUCGGAAACCACACCAAUGCCAAGAUGGUUCCCUCCUUCCUCGCUUGCUUUCCCAAUUUGGAGGCACUACACAUCAUGUCUGAAAAAGGUGAUUAUGAAGCUGGCAGUGCCAGGCUGAAUCUCAACUUUUGGAAGCUGGUCAAGCCUACCGAAAACAUCAAGUCGUGCAUCAAGUAUUCGUAUGAAUUACUUCUCCAGUAUCUCCAGAAAACACAAGCUCUUGUGAUGCUUGGAAUAAUCAAUGAAAGGACAAUUUUUGAAGUAUCUGCUGGGCAGCCUUCAUUGAUCUCUGAUGAUGCCGAUGUUGUUGCUCUGGUUGGAACUAGUAAGGACUAGGCAAAACAGAUAAAUCAGAAGGAAGUGCAUUGGGGGUUGCUUGAAGAUUCAGUUGAGGAGCGUAUGGAGAAAGCACUCUCAGAUUCUGAUAGAGCUGAAGCAGAAAGCAAGGAUGCAGACGCAGAAGAUAAUAACAAGAAAAAAUCUUCAGAAGGUGGAAAGCAGGGUGGUUCUCUUAACAAAAAGCUCAAAAAGGAUAAGUUUGUAGGUCCAACAAGGAAAAAUACCAAAUCCGAAACAAGCAUGGUUUCUGCGGCACCUCGUGUGAAACCGGAGCUAACCCUUCCACCAACCGGAGCUAACCCUUCCACCAACGUAAUUUUUUUCCUCUUUGUAAAUUUCUCUAUAAGAAGCUCAGUUUGAUCUACAGUUCUAAAUAAUUCCUCAACUGCAGCCUUUGAAAAAUAUAAAUACCAUUCCUAUAACUGAACGUGAGGUUGUUGUUGUGAUCUAUUGGAUAUGUAAUAUAUUGUUGUGAUCUA